This 407-nucleotide ribosomal RNA is filed under the name uncultured bacterium. RNAcentral describes it as "partial 16S ribosomal RNA". It matches the Rfam family "Bacterial small subunit ribosomal RNA", at positions 30 to 526 of the family's 1533-position model. The record is from RNAcentral.
AUUGAACGCUGGCGGCAGGCCUAACACAUGCAAGUCGAGCGGAGCGGCGGACGGGUGAGUACUGCCUAGGAAUCUGCCUGGUAGUGGGGGAUAACGUCCGGAAACGGGCGCUUAUACCGCAUACUAUCAGAUCAGCCUCGGUCGGAGUAGCUAGUUGGUGGGGUAAAGGCCUACCUAGGCGACGAUCCCUAGCUGGUCUGAGAGGAUGACCAGCCACACUGGAACUGAGACACGGUCCAGACUCCUACGGGAGGCAGCAGUAGGGAAUAUUGCACAAUGGGCGCAAGCCUGAUGCAGCCAUGCCGCGUGUAUGAAGAAGGCCUUCGGGUUGUAAAGUACUUUCAGCGGGGAGGCGUUACCCGCAGAGGAAGCACCGGCUAACUACGUGCCAGCAGCCGCGGUAAUUC